UUCUUGUUUGCUAUUGGGGGUUAUAAUACAUAUCACAGUGUGUAUAUACAUACAUGUCUUGCAUUCAUUGGUUUGAUGUACACACCGGAUGUGACACGGGAUGUGGGUAAGUUUUAUUUAGGUUAUACUUUGCUGUUUUCAGUCACAAGUUGAAGACAACUGAAGAUGGAAACCACCAAAGGAUGUGGUGCAGUGGAUGAGGCUGCUCCGCCUUUAACCAGAGGUCUCGGUUUCGAGCCAUGGGAAUGGAUAAAUCCUUGGUAAGGAGCGCUUCCCCCAAAUGGGCCCUACGCGACGCGAAUCCGGAUUAGUCGGAUUCCAAUGCGGGUACCGAACACCGGAUGAGAAAGCAAAAAAAAAAGAUGGAGAUUCACUAACAAGAGUAAUGUGUUAAGCGAUUUGUUCUAUUUCUCCUAUUUAACUACUUACAGGUUUUGAUCUAGUUGAAUGACUGUUUGGUUUAUAAAGUGAUUUCUUUUCCAUGUCAAGAUACUUUAGUUGUUCUUCCCUUAAAGAAAUUGGUAUUGUUUUUGCUGUUAGUACUGUAGCUUAUGGGCAUGUACCACUGCCCCAAGAAAAUUUCGACUAGAAAGGAUAAGAUAGAAGAGGGAGUAAGAGAAAAUAUCUGAAGCUGUCAUUUUUCUCUUACCGGAACUACCCUCUGCAGCUCCAUCUUCAGCAGCUGCUCAAUCUUUCAUUUCGAAAAUAAAACUUGGAUGUCA
This 722-nucleotide long non-coding RNA is filed under the name Nicotiana benthamiana. RNAcentral describes it as "long non-coding RNA (NBEN_LNC037324)". Lineage: Eukaryota; Viridiplantae; Streptophyta; Magnoliopsida; Solanales; Solanaceae. The record is from RNAcentral.